CAUCAGCGGCGAACGGGUGAGUACACGUGGGUGACUUGCCCCGAAGAUGGGGAUACCUCGGGAGAGGGGGGCUAAUACCCAAUGUGCUCGGUGACUCGGUUCAUCGAGUAAAGCUCCGGCGCUUCGGGAGAGGCCUGCGGCCCAUCAGCUAGUUGGUAGGGUAACGGCCUACCAAGGCAGAGACGGGUAGGGGGCGUGAGAGCGCGGACCCCCACACUGGCACUGAGAUACGGGCCAGACUCCUACGGGAGGCAGCAGUAAGGGAUAUUGCGCAAUGGACGAAAGUCAGACGCAGCGACGCCGCGUGGGCGAUGAAGGCCUUCGGGUUGUAAAGCCCUUUUAUGGGGGAAGAGAAAAAGGACGGUACCCCAGGAAUAAGUCCCGGCUAACUACGUGCCAGCAGCCGCGGUAAAACGUAGGGGACAAGCGUUAUCCGGAUUCACUGGGCGUAAAGAGCGUUGAGGCGGUUCCGUAAGUUGGGCGUGAAAGCUCCGGGCUUAACUCGGAGAUGUCGUUCAAUACUGCGGGGCUUGAGGACAGCAGAGGAAGGUGGAAUUCCCGGUGUAGUGGUGAAAUGCGUAGAUAUCGGGAGGAACACCCGUGGCGAAGGCGGCCUUCUGGGCUGUUCCUGACGCUGAAGGCGAAAGCUAGGGGAGCGAACGGGAUUAGAUACCCCGGUAGUCCUAGCUGUAAACGAUGGAUGCUGGGUGUGGGGGG
This 717-nucleotide ribosomal RNA is filed under the name uncultured organism. Its description in RNAcentral is "bacterial SSU rRNA". It matches the Rfam family "Bacterial small subunit ribosomal RNA", at positions 90 to 829 of the family's 1533-position model. The record is from RNAcentral.